UACGAAGGGGGCUAGCGUUGUUCGGAAUUACUGGGCGUAAAGCGCACGUAGGCGGAUAUUUAAGUCAGGGGUGAAAUCCCAGAGCUCAACUCUGGAACUGCCUUUGAUACUGGGUAUCUUGAGUAUGGAAGAGGUAAGUGGAAUUGCGAGUGUAGAGGUGAAUUCGUAGAUAUUCGCAGGAACACCAGUGGCGAAGGCGGCUUACUGGUCCAUAACUGACGCUGAGGUGCGAA
Molecule: ribosomal RNA, 233 nt
Filed under: uncultured bacterium
Lineage: Bacteria
Description: partial 16S ribosomal RNA
Rfam family: Bacterial small subunit ribosomal RNA
Source: RNAcentral